GGUUUGGGCUUGCUGCGCCCUCUACAGCUGUUGACGAGGAAGAGAAGAAAAAAGCUCGACUAGCCCGAUUUGCACCAUAUGCCAAACCUGAUACAGUGGAAGGAGAAAAGAGAAAAGCUAGGGCGAUCAGGUUUUCUAAUCCUCCGUCAAGUUCUUUAGCACAGGAGGCUCCUAUUGCUGGAAAGGCUGGUGCAGUGCUCUAAGUUGAAGUUACCGUAGUUAGAAGGUCCAAUGUCCUAACAGCAUGUGAUUCUCUUGAAGCUUCUUUAUAGUGUUUUUUUCUAACAUCAAAAUUCUAAGAGCAGUAUGCCAUCUCCAUAUGAAUUUCUGA
Long non-coding RNA from Hibiscus syriacus, 331 nucleotides. RefSeq lists it as uncharacterized. The transcript has 4 exons. The record is from RefSeq and is a predicted model, not a curated record. NCBI's taxonomy places the organism in Eukaryota, Viridiplantae, Streptophyta, Magnoliopsida, Malvales, Malvaceae.